AGUGAACGCUGGCGGUAGGCCUAACACAUGCAAGUCGAACGGCAGCACAGUAAGAGCUUGCUCUUACGGGUGGCGAGUGGCGGACGGGUGAGGAAUACAUCGGAAUCUACUUUUUCGUGGGGGAUAACGUAGGGAAACUUACGCUAAUACCGCAUACGACCUACAGGUGAAAGCAGGGGAUCUUCGGACCUUGCGCGAUUGAAUGAGCCGAUGUCGGACUAGCUAGUUGGCGGGGUAAAGGCCCACCAAGGCGACGAUCCGUAGCUGGUCUGAGAGGAUGAUCAGCCACACUGGAACUGAGACACGGUCCAGACUCCUACGGGAGGCAGCAGUGGGGAAUAUUGGACAAUGGGCGCAAGCCUGAUCCAGCCAUACCGCGUGGGUGAAGAAGGCCUUCGGGUUGUAAAGCCCUUUUGUUGGGAAAGAAAAGCAGCAGGUUAAUACCCCGCUGUUCUGACGGUACCCAAAGAAUAAGCACCGGCUAACUUCGUG
RNAcentral lists this ribosomal RNA (492 nucleotides) under uncultured bacterium. Its description in RNAcentral is "partial 16S ribosomal RNA". It matches the Rfam family "Bacterial small subunit ribosomal RNA", at positions 29 to 507 of the family's 1533-position model. The record is from RNAcentral.